GACGAACGCUGGCGGCGUGCUUAACACAUGCAAGUCGAGCGGUAAGGCCCUUUCGGGGGUACACGAGCGGCGAACGGGUGAGUAACACGUGGGUGACCUGCCCUUAGCUCUGGGAUAAGCCUGGGAAACUGGGUCUAAUACCGGAUAUGACUCCAUGACGCAUGUUGUGGGGUGGAAAGCCUUGUGCGGCUAGGGAUGGGCCCGCGGCCUAUCAGCUUGUUGGUGGGGUGAUGGCCUACCAAGGCGACGACGGGUAGCCGGCCUGAGAGGGCGACCGGCCACACUGGGACUGAGACACGGCCCAGACUCCUACGGGAGGCAGCAGGUGGGGAAUUCUUGCG
This 341-nucleotide ribosomal RNA is filed under the name uncultured bacterium. RNAcentral's name for it is "bacterial SSU rRNA". It matches the Rfam family "Bacterial small subunit ribosomal RNA", at positions 28 to 369 of the family's 1533-position model. The record is from RNAcentral.